GUUGAUUGAUUUUGUUUAUAGUUAAACGUCAAGUGGCAACUAUUUCAUUAGAGUGCGCAUUGAGUAUAAUUUUAGGAUGUCCCAUAUAAAUAUCGGCAAUGACAAAUCUCUCGAUAAAUCUGACAAAUUUGACGAGAUUGUUGAUAGUUUUACCACACCGUAUGCUUACGGACACUGUACAAUUUCUGUUAGAAUAUUUUGCGGGAAAUAGAAUAGUAAAUCCAAUGCAAACAAGUUGAAUAUCAAUGAAAUAUCCAUGCAAGUAUAAAUU
This 271-nucleotide long non-coding RNA is filed under the name Mytilus galloprovincialis (Mediterranean mussel). Lineage: Eukaryota; Metazoa; Mollusca; Bivalvia; Mytilida; Mytilidae. The record is from RNAcentral.